This 467-nucleotide ribosomal RNA is filed under the name uncultured bacterium. RNAcentral's name for it is "partial 16S ribosomal RNA". It matches the Rfam family "Bacterial small subunit ribosomal RNA", at positions 28 to 507 of the family's 1533-position model. The record is from RNAcentral.
GACGAACGCUGGCGGCGUGCUUAACACAUGCAAGUCGAACGGAAAGGCCUCUUUCGGGGGGUACUCGAGUGGCGAACGGGUGAGUAACACGUGAGUAACCUGCCCUUGACUUUGGGAUAACUUCAGGAAACUGGGGCUAAUACCGGAUAGGAGCUCCUGCUGCAUGGUGGGGGUUGGAAAGUUUCGGCGGUUGGGGAUGGACUCGCGGCUUAUCAGCUUGUUGGUGGGGUAGUGGCUUACCAAGGCUUUGACGGGUAGCCGGCCUGAGAGGGUGACCGGCCACAUUGGGACUGAGAUACGGCCCAGACUCCUACGGGAGGCAGCAGUGGGGAAUAUUGCACAAUGGGUGGAAGCCUGAUGCAGCAACGCCGUGUGCGGGAUGACGGCCUUCGGGUUGGAAACCGCUUUCGCUCAUGACGAAGCUUUGUGUGACGGUAGUGGGUAGAGAAGCACCGGCUAACUACGUA